Molecule: non-coding RNA, 3014 nt
Organism: Leptonychotes weddellii (Weddell seal)
Lineage: Eukaryota; Metazoa; Chordata; Mammalia; Carnivora; Phocidae
Source: RefSeq, a predicted model, not a curated record
GAUAUAAUAUCCCCAUUUAUAUUCAGAGCAGUCAACACUUUCCAGCUCUCAGAAUAAUAAAAGCACCUGCAUUUAAUAUACAUGGAAGAAUGGGAAGGCAAAUAGCAGAUAAGGCACAAUCAGCUGGUUUAGUCAGCUCAGACUGUGGUAACAAAAUACCGAAGACUGGGUGACUUAAAGAACAGAAACUUAUUUUCUCACCAUUCUGGAGGCUGGAAGUCCAAGACCAGGGGGCCAGCGUGGUCGGGUUCUGGGACUAAUCACUGAUUUCAGAAUGAUGAAUUGGCCACAGGGGAGCUUCAUUCACCAAGAAGUUUUCAGUUAUAUUCUAAAUACCAAAGAGAGAACUAAUUUUCAGAAGAUUUCUAAUGACCGGAGUGAAAAAUUAUUCAUUAUUGAAUGCUUUUGGGAGGUGGACUGAGAUUUCCACUUUAUAGUAGGAAAACUGUAAGCUUCUUCAAGGUCAUUAGAAGAGAUCUGAAUUAUCAAUUGAAGCAUGAACUACACAUUACCGAAAAUUGAAAACACCUCCCCAGAGGCACCUCCAGAUUUUAGCGAAAUCUGCUCAACAUUUCCGAGUCCCUGUGAUGGAUCAGAGGCAUUCAGAUCUCUGCAAAGACGUCAGAGGAGGAAAAACAAUAAAGUGUCUGCAUUGAUGCGCACAGGCUGAUGCUCUGCUGACGUGUCCCACGUGAACACAGCCCGCACUGCGCGUGGUCCCAUAGCCCUGGCUCUUCCUGUGCUUCUUUCUCCCCCACUCAAGAGACCAUUUGCGGAUGCAAGGGAGUGAAUGUCACCGUGAUGAUUUCCAGUGCACAUGAGCUCUGGGCAGCUUUCAUAUUUCUACAGGUUGAUGACAAGGAAGAAUAUAUAAGAACUGGCCAAGCAGUUUUCCAAAGUGGUUGUAACAUUUUACAUUCCCACCAGUGAUGUAUCAGAGUUCCAAUUGUUCCAUACCUCACCUCUACCUGCUUGUUUCAGGUAAGAUGUGGAUUCAUUCUCAGGAUCCUGACAAAUUUUAAUUUCUGGCUUUGUCCUGCGAGGGACCACAGUAAUACUGUCAAGUGACGGGACCAUUUUUUAAAAGAGCCUGCUGAGUGAACUGGUUGAAUGGAGUGCCAUGAAGGUCUUUAAUAAAUUAUAGGUGGAUUUAUGGGUUCUGCUCGGGGCCAAGGUAGGUUGGCUGAGUUGAAAUGAAAUGAGACAUAUUCAUUCAGAAGGUCCAGUGGGUCCUCAGUAUUAAGGAAAGAAGAUUCAUGAACAGAUGCUAUGUUUUUCACCUCAUAGGCUUCCUAUUCUACAUGGACAAUUGUCUCUAGGAUUGAAUAAUCCCAUCACAUGAAUGGGACACAUUGUCUAGUUGGUUACUUAGGACAAUUUCUUCAGAGUAACCCAAACUUACCUUAUGUAAAAUCAUAGGCAUGAGCAAACUCUCAAAACCAACCCCAUGGUUAAAACAGGAAAGCCUCAAAGCAAUCCAAGAUGGAUGGGCCUCGUUUGUAUUCUUAUCAUCUCUAAGAACAGGUAUGUCACAACCUCUCUUGUGACUGGUGUUUCCCAGCCUGGAUUACAUUUCUACCUCCCAUGCUCUCAUUAGGAGGAAGAGAUGACCAUAGAUGACGGGUGAAAGCUUCUGCUGAGCUCGGCCACUUGUAGGGAUGUUGUUGACUUUGUCAGUCCAUUGUGACUUUCCAUACACAUUUAUAAGUGAACCUCCUGUGAACUGUGCUCCCGAGAAAAGUGUGAAGAUGAGAAGGAGUGAGAAUCUAAAUUCGACAACAGUGUUUCCCUAAACCGGGGCCAGAGUGUUGGCAGAAGCUGUGAUGUUUGGCAAUUAUUGCUGAAAUAACUGGGAUUCUUGAAGGAGUGUUCAGGAAUCCUGAAGAUUAUGGAUGUUGAAUAUGUAUAUUGAAAGGGAGAGAGCUGUCCUAUCUCCCGCUGAAAGCAGUUACAUGGGCCUAAUUCCUCCCUGAGCACUAAUGAUGUGCAUCGGGCCUCCCCUUUCCUUGACAUGAGUUUCUCUUCAACUCUCUCUUUGGGAUGGUUGAUAAUUAACAUGGGGGUUUGCUAUCUGCCUUCAUUGAACUUGUGUGGUCAUUUUAUGCUGCUCAGCCCAGCGAUCUAGCUAGUGACAUCAUUGGGCUAAUGACUAAUGUGCCUGAAGCAAAACAAGGACAAUUCUAUCUAAAAGAAAAUUUUCUUCCCUUAUUUUCCUCUUCCAGAGGAUCAUUGGGAUGGCUAGGAUUUAUAUGUUGUGCAUGCAGUAGAAGAGCUUCUGGUAGAUAGUGCAAAGGACAAGGAAAAAAAUAAAGAAGGGAAGAUAAUGAGCAAACUCCUCUUUGUUGGAAAAAAUAUUUGCUGUUUUUCUGCCUCCGAAGUUUUCUGUAACGUUUCCUAGAAUGUUAACCUAGAAGCUCGAGUGCUUUCUGCUGGGUUUCUUUGAAGGUCCUACUCUGUGGAGAAAGGCCAACAAAAGAGCACUUCCUGAUGCAGGGGAUGGAACCAUCUCUCUUUGCUCUAGAAUCAAGUUGUAACACGAGUCUGGACAUUUGUCAGGGGGUGUCUUGACACUGGAAGAAUAGGCAAGUAAGAAAGAAAUGGAAUUAGUGAUUGAAGCGCAUUGAUAUUGUUGGGAUCUUGAUACACAUUGCCAGUUUGCACCCGAGAGAGGUUAUACCAGUUAUCCACACGCUAGCUCUGUCAGAGCAUGCUCACCACCAGUAUUGUUACCUUUCACAUCUUUACAAAUGUGAUAGACUGAAAAAGACAUUGAGCCAGACUCAAAAGGCAGCUUACUGUAUGGUUCUAUUUCCGUGACAUCCCAGAGAAGGAAAAACUAUCAGGGAAAAAAGUUGGAUUGGGGUUUGGGUAUGAGAAGGAUUGACAGGAGAGAGAUCUGAGGGAAUUUCUUAGGGCUGAUGGAAAUGUUCUAUAUCUCGAUUUUGCUGGUGCUUUCACGACUACACAUUUGUCAAAACUCACUGAACUAUACAUUUGAAAAGGGUGAAUUUUAC